Acanthosepion pharaonis is the source of this 109-nucleotide non-coding RNA. The record is from the annotation of a GenBank genome assembly. NCBI's taxonomy places the organism in Eukaryota, Metazoa, Mollusca, Cephalopoda, Sepiida, Sepiidae.
UUACGGCUAUAUCACUUUGCAAAACCAGUUCCCGUACGAUCAGCGACAUUAAGCAACGUCGGGCCUACUCAUUACCUAGAUGGGUGACUACUUGGGUAUUCCAGGUGUU